GGGUAGAGCACUGUUUCGGCUAGGGGGUCAUCCCGACUUACCAACCCGAUGCAAACUACGAAUACCGAAGAAUGUUAUCACGGGAGACACACGGCGGGUGCUAACGUCCGUCGUGAAGAGGGAAACAACCCAGACCGCCAGCUAAGGUCCCAAAGUCAUGGUUAAGUGGGAAACGAUGUGGGAAGGCACAGACAGCCAGGAUGUUGGCUUAGAAGCAGCCAUCAUUUAAAGAAAGCGUAAUAGCUCACUGGUCGAGUCGGCCUGCGCGGAAGAUGUAACGGGGCUAAACCAUGCACCGAAGCUGCGGCAGCGACACUAUGUGUUGUUGGGUAGGGGAGCGUUCUGUAAGCCUGCGAAGGUGACCUGUGAGGGUUGCUGGAGGUAUCAGAAGUGCGAAUGCUGACAUAAGUAACGAUAAAGCGGGUGAAAAGCCCGCUCGCCGGAAGACCAAGGGUUCCUGUCCAACGUUAAUCGGGGCAGGGUGAGUCGACCCCUAAGGCGAGGCCGAAAGGCGUAGUCGAUGGGAAACAGGUUAAUAUUCCUGUACUUGGUGUUACUGCGAAGGGGGGACGGAGAAGGCUAUGUUAGCCGGGCGACGGUUGUCCCGGUUUAAGCAUGUAGGCUGGUUAUCCAGGCAAAUCCGGAUAAUCAAGGCUGAGGUGUGAUGACGAGGCACUACGGUGCUGAAGUAACAAAUGCCCUGCUUCCAGGAAAAGCCUCUAAGCAUCAGGUAACAUCAAAUCGUACCCCAAACCGACACAGGUGGUCAGGUAGAGAAUACCAAGGCGCUUGAGAGAACUCGGGUGAAGGAACUAGGCAAAAUGGUGCCGUAACUUCGGGAGAAGGCACGCUGGUGUGUAGGUGAAGUCCCUGCGGAUGGAGCUGAGACCAGUCGAAGAUACCAGCUGGCUGCAACUGUUUAUUAAAAACACAGCACUGUGCAAACACGAAAGUGGACGUAUACGGUGUGACGCCUGCCCGGUGCCGGAAGGUUAAUUGAUGGGGUUAUCCGUAAGGAGAAGCUCUUGAUCGAAGCCCCGGUAAACGGCGGCCGUAACUAUAACGGUCCUAAGGUAGCGAAAUUCCUUGUCGGGUAAGUUCCGACCUGCACGAAUGGCGUAAUGAUGGCCAGGCUGUCUCCACCCGAGACUCAGUGAAAUUGAACUCGCUGUGAAGAUGCAGUGUACCCGCGGCAAGACGGAAAGACCCCGUGAACCUUUACUAUAGCUUGACACUGAACAUUGAGCCUUGAUGUGUAGGAUAGGUGGGAGGCUUUGAAGCGUGGACGCCAGUCUGCGUGGAGCCAACCUUGAAAUACCACCCUUUAAUGUUU
RNAcentral lists this ribosomal RNA (1333 nucleotides) under Klebsiella pneumoniae. RNAcentral describes it as "partial 23S ribosomal RNA". It matches the Rfam family "Bacterial large subunit ribosomal RNA", at positions 900 to 2215 of the family's 2925-position model. Lineage: Bacteria; Pseudomonadati; Pseudomonadota; Gammaproteobacteria; Enterobacterales; Enterobacteriaceae. The record is from RNAcentral. RNAcentral also lists the same sequence under 1 other name.